This 228-nucleotide ribosomal RNA is filed under the name Triticum aestivum (bread wheat). RNAcentral describes it as "partial small subunit ribosomal RNA". The record is from RNAcentral. Lineage: Eukaryota; Viridiplantae; Streptophyta; Magnoliopsida; Poales; Poaceae.
AUGAGUGCUUUUUCCUUUGUUGAUAUCUUGCUUGUUGAUUUUUGCCAACCUCGACAGCUACGAGGAGGAGCUUGCCGAGCGCGAGCAAGCACUUGGCGGGGCGCUCAAGGAAGCAAAGGACGCUGCCGCAACCACAGAGGCCGCCAAGAAAGAGCUGGAGGAGAAGGUGGCGCAGCUGGAGGCCAACAUCGGGAAGAGCGGCGAGGAGCUUGCCGCGCUCAAGCGUGA